GACGAACGCUGGCGGCGUGCUUAACACAUGCGAGUCGAACGGAAAGGCCCUGCUUUUGUGGGGUGCUCGAGUGGCGAACGGGUGAGUAACACGUGAGUAACCUGCCCUUGACUUUGGGAUAACUUCAGGAAACUGGGGCUAAUACCGGCUAGGAGCUCCUGCUGCAUGGUGGGGGUUGGAAAGUUUCGGCGGUUGGGGAUGGACUCGCGGCUUAUCAGCUUGUUGGUGGGGUAGUGGCUUACCAAGGCUUUGACGGGUAGCCGGCCUGAGAGGGUGACCGGCCACAUUGGGACUGAGAUACGGCCCAGACUCCUACGGGAGGCAGCAGUGGGGAAUAUUGCACAAUGGGCGGAAGCCUGAUGCAGCAACGCCGCGUGCGGGAUGACGGCCUUCGGGUUGUAAACCGCUUUCGCCUGUGACGAAGCGUGAGUGACGGUAAUGGGUAAAGAAGCACCGGCUAACUACGUG
Molecule: ribosomal RNA, 468 nt
Filed under: uncultured bacterium
Lineage: Bacteria
Description: partial 16S ribosomal RNA
Rfam family: Bacterial small subunit ribosomal RNA
Source: RNAcentral